GUAGGCUGCAACCCGCCUACAUGAAGUUGGAAUUGCUAGUAAUCGCAGAUCAGAAUGCUGCGGUGAAUACGUUCCCGGGCCUUGUACACACCGCCCGUCACACCAUGGGAGCCGGUAAUACCCGAAGUCAGUAGCCUAACAGCAAUGAGGGCGCGGUCGAAGGUGGGUUCGAUAAUUGGGGUGAAGUCGUAACAAGGUAGC
RNAcentral lists this ribosomal RNA (201 nucleotides) under uncultured bacterium. RNAcentral describes it as "partial 16S ribosomal RNA". It matches the Rfam family "Bacterial small subunit ribosomal RNA", at positions 1300 to 1500 of the family's 1533-position model. The record is from RNAcentral.